GACAGUGCUGCAUGGCUGUCGUCAGCUCGUGUUGUGAAAUGUUGGUUAAGUCCCGCAACGAGCGCAACCCUUAUCCUUUGUUGCCAGCGGUCCGGCCGGGAACUCAAAGGAGACUGCCAGUGAUAAACUGGAGGAAGGUGGGGAUGACGUCAAGUCAUCAUGGCCCUUACGACCAGGGCUACACACGUGCUACAAUGGCGCAUACAAAGGGAAGCGACCUCGCGAGAGCAAGCGGACCUCAUAAAGUGCGUCGUAGUCCGGAUUGGAGUCUGCAACUCGACUCCAUGAAGUCGGAAUCGCUAGUAAUCGUGGAUCAGAAUGCCACGGUGAAUACGUUCCCGGGCCUU
This 347-nucleotide ribosomal RNA is filed under the name uncultured Enterobacteriaceae bacterium. Its description in RNAcentral is "bacterial SSU rRNA". It matches the Rfam family "Bacterial small subunit ribosomal RNA", at positions 1034 to 1382 of the family's 1533-position model. Lineage: Bacteria; Pseudomonadati; Pseudomonadota; Gammaproteobacteria; Enterobacterales; Enterobacteriaceae. The record is from RNAcentral.